This 773-nucleotide ribosomal RNA is filed under the name uncultured Neocallimastigales. RNAcentral describes it as "partial large subunit ribosomal RNA". It matches the Rfam family "Eukaryotic large subunit ribosomal RNA", at positions 22 to 621 of the family's 3401-position model. The record is from RNAcentral. Lineage: Eukaryota; Fungi; Neocallimastigomycota; Neocallimastigomycetes; Neocallimastigales.
UAUCAGUCAUGCAUAGCAUAUCAAUAAGCGGAGGAAAAGAAACUAACAAGGAUUCCCUUAGUAACGGCGAGUGAAGCGGGAAGAGCUCAAAUUUGAAAUCUUCAAGGUUUUACCUUGACGAAUUGUAGUUUAAAGAAGUGUUUUCUGUUGAAGUUUUGGUAAAAGUUCUUUGGAAUAGGACAUCAUAGAGGGUGAGAAUCCCGUAUUUGACCAUUACUUUCAGCUUUGUGAUACACUUUCAAAGAGUCGGAUUGUUUGGGAAUGCAGUCCAAAAUGGGUGGUAAAUUUCAUCUAAAGCUAAAUAUUGGCGAGAGACCGAUAGCGAACAAGUACCGUGAGGGAAAGAUGAAAAGAACUUUGAAAAGAGAGUUAAACAGUACGUGAAAUUGUCAAAAGGGAAGCGUUUGACACCAGUGUUGUUUUCUCGAAAAUCAAUUAAAAAGAGUUGGAUUUUGUGUUGUAUUGACCUUAUCAGCUUUCUUCACUCUUUUCCAGCUUUUUUUAAUGCACUUUUCGUUUAACAAGUCAACAUCAGUUUCUUUUGUUGUAAAAAGGUCAUUGGAAGGUGGCUUUCUCUUCGGAGAAAGUGUUUAUAGCCUUUGACUCAUGCAAUCGGAGAGACUGAGGUCUGCAGCGUAGAUCCUUCGGGGUUAGAUACAUUUGUGCUAAGUUAUAGCUUUUCAUAGACAACUUGUUGACUAUGUUUAGUCUUGUAGCUUACUCGCUUAUGCUAUUUUACCUACGCUUAGGAUGUUGAACUCUAUCACACACAG